RNAcentral lists this non-coding RNA (100 nucleotides) under Carlito syrichta (Philippine tarsier). Lineage: Eukaryota; Metazoa; Chordata; Mammalia; Primates; Tarsiidae. The record is from RNAcentral.
GGCAGCCCAAAUACAGUGGUGUUUAUAACUAAUUGAUCACAAUGAGUUACAGACAUACUGUUUUUUCUCCACUUCCCCUGCAUCACUUGACCUGCAUUAA